UCCGCAGAUAAACAGAAAGGUGUGCCAGU
This 29-nucleotide non-coding RNA is filed under the name Homo sapiens (human). Lineage: Eukaryota; Metazoa; Chordata; Mammalia; Primates; Hominidae. The record is from RNAcentral.